This 688-nucleotide ribosomal RNA is filed under the name Enterococcus faecalis. RNAcentral's name for it is "bacterial SSU rRNA". It matches the Rfam family "Bacterial small subunit ribosomal RNA", at positions 1 to 660 of the family's 1533-position model. Lineage: Bacteria; Bacillati; Bacillota; Bacilli; Lactobacillales; Enterococcaceae. The record is from RNAcentral.
UUUUUUAGAGUUUGAUUCCCUGCUCAGGACGAACGCUGGCGGCGUGCCUAAUACAUGCAAGUCGAACGCUUCUUUCCUCCCGAGUGCUUGCACUCAAUUGGAAAGAGGAGUGGCGGACGGGUGAGUAACACGUGGGUAACCUACCCAUCAGAGGGGGAUAACACUUGGAAACAGGUGCUAAUACCGCAUAACAGUUUAUGCCGCAUGGCAUAAGAGUGAAAGGCGCUUUCGGGUGUCGCUGAUGGAUGGACCCGCGGUGCAUUAGCUAGUUGGUGAGGUAACGGCUCACCAAGGCCACGAUGCAUAGCCGACCUGAGAGGGUGAUCGGCCACACUGGGACUGAGACACGGCCCAGACUCCUACGGGAGGCAGCAGUAGGGAAUCUUCGGCAAUGGACGAAAGUCUGACCGAGCAACGCCGCGUGAGUGAAGAAGGUUUUCGGAUCGUAAAACUCUGUUGUUAGAGAAGAACAAGGACGUUAGUAACUGAACGUCCCCUGACGGUAUCUAACCAGAAAGCCACGGCUAACUACGUGCCAGCAGCCGCGGUAAUACGUAGGUGGCAAGCGUUGUCCGGAUUUAUUGGGCGUAAAGCGAGCGCAGGCGGUUUCUUAAGUCUGAUGUGAAAGCCCCCGGCUCAACCGGGGAGGGUCAUUGGAAACUGGGAGACUUGAGUGCAGAAGAGGAGA